Long non-coding RNA from Gallus gallus (chicken), 423 nucleotides. The record is from Ensembl. NCBI's taxonomy places the organism in Eukaryota, Metazoa, Chordata, Aves, Galliformes, Phasianidae.
AUGGAAGCUAUAUUGGUUUGCAAACAAGAUUGGGUUUGUUUGGAUAAAGGUGAUAAGUUCAAGGAUGUUUCAUGGGGUACUUGUCAACAUCAGUCUGCCUCAUCUGAAUAUCUCCAAUACAUUGACCUCUAUGAGAUCAUCAAAUGGCACUGAAGUAUUAUAGCAGAAGAACAAGAAAGCUUGUAUCAUAUAGAAGGCAUUAUGUUGGAAAUGAGCAAAUGCAUUUCAUAGAAUCACAGAAUCAGAAUAUCCUGAAUUGGAAGGCACAUACAAGGAGUCCACCAUAUCUAAGUUUGUUUGAAAUAAAAGCACAAGUGCUGCAGUUAAGGAUGUGGAUCCAACUUCUGAGAACUCAGCAGGCUUUCUGCAUCACUUGGUAAUAGGCAGCUUCAGCCUCUGCAAGCUGACAAGUCAAAAAACAAG